RNAcentral lists this ribosomal RNA (478 nucleotides) under uncultured bacterium. RNAcentral's name for it is "partial 16S ribosomal RNA". It matches the Rfam family "Bacterial small subunit ribosomal RNA", at positions 28 to 523 of the family's 1533-position model. The record is from RNAcentral.
GACGAACGCUGGCGGCGUGCUUAACACAUGCAGGUCGAACGGUAAGGCCCUUCGGGGUACACGAGUGGCGAACGGGUGAGUAACACGUGGGUGAUCUGCCCUGCACUUCGGGAUAAGCCUGGGAAACUGGGUCUAAUACCGGAUAGGACCACUGCCUGCAUGGGUGGUGGUGGAAAGCUUUUGCGGUGUGGGAUGGGCCCGCGGCCUAUCAGCUUGUUGGUGGGGUGAUGGCCUACCAAGGCGACGACGGGUAGCCGGCCUGAGGGGGUGACCGGCCACACUGGGACCUAGAUACGGCCCAGACUCCUACGGGAGGCAGCAGUGGGGAAUAUUGCACAAUGGGCGCAAGCCUGAUGCAGCGACGCCGCGUGGGGGAUGACGGCCUUCGGGUUGUAAACCUCUUUCAGCACCGACGAAGCGCAAGUGACGGUAGGUGCAGAAGAAGGACCGGCCAACUACGUGCCAGCAGCCGCCGUAA